UACGUAGGGGGCAAGCGUUGUCCGGAUUUAUUGGGCGUAAAGAGCGUGUAGGCGGCUAGAUAGGUCCGUUGUGAAAACUCGAGCUCAACCUCGAGACGCCGGUGGAAACCAUCUAGCUAGAGUCCGGAAGAGGAGAGUGGAAUUCCUGGUGUAGCGGUGAAAUGACGCAGAUAUCAGGAAGAACACCCGUGGCGAAGGCGGCUCUCUGGUACGUGACUGACGCUGAGACGCGAAAGCGUGGGGAGCGAACAGG
RNAcentral lists this ribosomal RNA (253 nucleotides) under uncultured bacterium. RNAcentral's name for it is "partial 16S ribosomal RNA". It matches the Rfam family "Bacterial small subunit ribosomal RNA", at positions 524 to 776 of the family's 1533-position model. The record is from RNAcentral.